Molecule: ribosomal RNA, 620 nt
Filed under: uncultured Verrucomicrobiota bacterium
Lineage: Bacteria; Pseudomonadati; Verrucomicrobiota
Description: bacterial SSU rRNA
Rfam family: Bacterial small subunit ribosomal RNA
Source: RNAcentral
UAGCAAUACCGAAGAAAGUCUAGUGGCGAACGGGUGCGUAACACGUGGGCAAUCUGCCUUAAAGUGGGGGAUAGCUCGGCGAAAGCCGGAUUAAUACCGCAUGUGAUUACCGGAGACAUCUUCGGAACAUCAAAGUCGGGGCAACCUGACGCUUUUUGAGGAGCCCGCGGCCUAUCAGCUAGUUGGUGAGGUAACGGCUCACCAAGGCUUUGACGGGUAGCUGGUCUGAGAGGACGACCAGUCACACUGGAACUGAGACACGGUCCAGACACCUACGGGUGGCAGCAGUCGAGAAUUUUUCUCAAUGGGGGAAACCCUGAAGGAGCGACGCCGCGUGGAGGAUGAAGGUCUUCGGGUUGUAAACUCCUGUCAUUUGGGAACAAUGCUUACGUAUUAACUGUACGUGAGUUGAUAGUACCAGAAGAGGAAGAGACGGCUAACUCUGUGCCAGCAGCCGCGGUAAUACAGAGGUCUCAAGCGUUGUUCGGAUUCAUUGGGCGUAAAGGGUGUGUAGGUGGCGCGCUAAGUCGGGUGUGAAAUUUCGGAGCUUAACUCCGAAACUGCAUUCGAUACUGGCGUGCUUGAGGACUGGAGAGGAGACUGGAAUUCACGGUGUAGCA